AAUGAACGUUGGCGGCGUGGAUUAGGCAUGCAAGUCGUACGAGAAUCGUAGCAAUACGGGGAAAGUGGCGGAAGGGAGAGGAUUACGUGGGAAUCUACCCUCAGAACUGGGAUAGCGGCGGGAAACUGCCGGUAAUACCAGAUAAUGUCUGUGGACCAAAGGUGUGAUUCCGUCGGGGGGUGAGCCCACGUCCUAUUAGCUAGUUGGCAGGGUAAUGGCCUACCAAGGCAAUGAUGGGUAGCGGGUGUGAGAGCAUGACCCGCCUCACUGGGACUGAGAACUGCCCAGACACCUACGGGUGGCUGCAGUCGAGAAUCUUCGGCAAUGAGCGCAAGCUUGACCGAGCGACGCCGCGUGCGGGAUGAAGGCCUUCGGGUUGUAAACCGCUGUCGUAGGGGAGCAAGAGAUGAGGGUACUCCCUCUGAUUUGAGCGAUCCUAGGAGGAAGGACGGGCUAAGUUCGUGCCAGCCGCCGCCGUAA
Molecule: ribosomal RNA, 480 nt
Filed under: uncultured bacterium
Lineage: Bacteria
Description: partial 16S ribosomal RNA
Rfam family: Bacterial small subunit ribosomal RNA
Source: RNAcentral